AGAUUGAACUGAAGAGUUUGAUCCUGGCUCAGAUUGAACGCUGGCGGCAUGCUUUACACAUGCAAGUCGAACGGCAGCGCGGGCUUCGGCCUGGCGGCGAGUGGCGAACGGGUGAGUAAUAUAUCGGAACGUACCCAAGAGUGGGGGAUAACGUAGCGAAAGUUACGCUAAUACCGCAUACGAUCUAAGGAUGAAAGCAGGGGAUCUUCGGACCUUGUGCUCCUGGAGCGGCCGAUAUCUGAUUAGCUAGUUGGUGAGGUAAAGGCUCACCAAGGCAACGAUCAGUAGCUGGUCUGAGAGGACGACCAGCCACACUGGAACUGAGACACGGUCCAGACU
RNAcentral lists this ribosomal RNA (339 nucleotides) under Massilia eburnea. RNAcentral describes it as "bacterial SSU rRNA". It matches the Rfam family "Bacterial small subunit ribosomal RNA", at positions 1 to 337 of the family's 1533-position model. Lineage: Bacteria; Pseudomonadati; Pseudomonadota; Betaproteobacteria; Burkholderiales; Oxalobacteraceae. The record is from RNAcentral.